GGACGGUCGGUUCGCCGCUUGUCGGUGCUCAACUGGCCGGUCCGGACGUCCUGCCGGUGGGGCCUCACGGCCCCGUCAUCCUUCUUUGGUCCUCUUCACCGAGUGCCUUGGUGGGCCGGCACGUUUACUUUGAACAAAUUAGAGUGCUCAAAGCAGGCCGUUGGUCGCCUGAAUACUGUGUGCAUGGAAUAAUGGAAUAGGACCUCGGUUCCAUUUUGUUGGUUUUCGGGACUCGAGGUAAUGAUUAAUAGGGACGGACGGGGGCAUUCGUAUUGCGACGUUAGAGGUGAAAUUCUUGGAUCGUCGCAAGACGAACCGAUGCGAAAGCAUUUGCCAAGAACGUUUUCGUUGAUCAAGAACGAAAGUUAGAGGUUCGAAGGCGAUCAGAUACCGCCCUAGUUCUAACCAUAAACGAUGCCAGCUAGCCAUCCGCCGAAGUUCCUUCUAUGACUCGGCGGGCAGCUUCCGGGAAACCAAAGCUCUUGGGUUCCGGGGGAAGUAUGGUUGCAAAGCUCAAACUUAAAGGAAUUGACGGAAGGGCACCACCAGGAGUGGAGCCUGCGGCUUAAUUUGACUCAACACGGGAAACCUCACCAGGCCCAGACACCGGUAGGAUUGACAGAAUAAGAGCUCUUUCUUGAUUCGGUGGGUGGUGGUGCAUGGCCGUUCUUAGUUGGUGGAGCGAUUUGUCUGGUAAUCCGAUACAACAGAUCGC
RNAcentral lists this ribosomal RNA (715 nucleotides) under Coenagrionidae environmental sample. RNAcentral's name for it is "SSU rRNA". It matches the Rfam family "Eukaryotic small subunit ribosomal RNA", at positions 701 to 1344 of the family's 1831-position model. The record is from RNAcentral. Lineage: Eukaryota; Metazoa; Arthropoda; Insecta; Odonata; Coenagrionidae.